UGGGGAAUAUUGCACAAUGGGCGCAAGCCUGAUGCAGCCAUGCCGCGUGUGUGAAGAAGGCCUUCGGGUUGUAAAGCACUUUCAGCGAGGAGGAAGGGUUCAGUGUUAAUAGCACUGUUCAUUGACGUUACUCGCAGAAGAAGCACCGGCUAACUCCGUGCCAGCAGCCGCGGUAAUACGGAGGGUGCAAGCGUUAAUCGGAAUUACUGGGCGUAAAGCGCACGCAGGCGGUUUGUUAAGUCAGAUGUGAAAUCCCGCGCUUAACGUGGGAACUGC
RNAcentral lists this ribosomal RNA (276 nucleotides) under uncultured bacterium. Its description in RNAcentral is "partial 16S ribosomal RNA". It matches the Rfam family "Bacterial small subunit ribosomal RNA", at positions 355 to 624 of the family's 1533-position model. The record is from RNAcentral.